UUCUGAAAUUUGAAAGGAAAGUUCAAGUGAAUUGGGGUAAAGUGAAUGAGUUAAUUGAUGAUUCCUAGAAUAUUACCAAGAUUUUGACAGAUAACGCGGUUAAUGUUAUGAAUAUUCACGACGAUAUAACUGCAUUCAGCCGGCGGUCUCAUAUCUCAACUCUCCUCUCUCCAAAAAAGGUCCAUCCUGAGGAGAACGAAGAAAAACCGAAAGCGGCCCUCCUACCCUACUUGAGAGCCACGACGAAACACAUAAAUAAAGUACUUGACCGACACGAAAUUCCAACAAACUUCCAAUCUCCAAAGAUCAAACAAAUGUCACCAAGUGCAAAAGUUCCAAGAUCACCCUUGAGAAUACCAGGAUUGUGCCAUGUUUCUUACUCAUGCAAAAAACUGUACAUUGGAGGAGUCGGAAGGAAGAUCAGUAAACGGACCAAGGAACACCAGCGAUGCUCCAAUUAUUGCACCGUCGAACUGAUUGUCCUAAUUGAACACUCGAUGGACACCGGACAUACCAUUCAGUCUGAUCAGGCCAGAACGUUGGCCAUAUGUCAAUGAUAUUUAGAAAGGAAAUGUCGAGAGAGCCUAGAGAUCCACAAAAAUCCUUAUAAUUCAAACAGAAACAGAGGAUAUCAAGUCAACCUUAUCUAGAGAACCGUCCUCCUGUUUUUUUUAGUCAACAAACUAAUCAACUAAACAACUGAUUGGCUGAACACUUUCCCCUCUCUCUCUCCGCGCAGGAGAGGUCAUAUAAGGACUCCUCAGAGACAUCAGAGUUCAUAGUUCUGAAGAUGCAAUUCAUAACAACAAUUUAAAGUUGUCCUUUUCGGAAUUCACUCUCCGGGAACACUCGAAAGUCGCUCCAGCUAUUUCUCACUCAUACCACCGAUCAGGAAGGUUAGCUGGAUAAGAUGACCAGGUCUUUGCACCAAGACCCCAGUCUCGGACAACGGGGGCUCCCAUUCAUACUCUCACUCUUCGACGAGGUGGCCAUUCCCAAUCGCCGCGCAGACUAGCUCACUGAUAAGCAGUCACAAUUCCGCGAAGGCGGUAAAUGACUCCCUAGAUGACCCAACAGAUUUAUGAUUAUUUCCGUAAUGCAUUCCCGCUGUGGUGCAUCUAUCGAACACUCCACUGGUCUCUUCGGCUUGUUCGCAGUCACAGGUCCUUGAGUCAGCAAGGUACUGGUCUUGAAGAUAGGACCGUAACUGCCCGUGCCUCGUCAGGACCUGCCAGAUUCAGUGGUCACAGCCGUGAAGGUGCGGACCGCAAUAUUUGUGGAACGCUGAAACAAAACAUGGCAUCCAUCCGGAAGCCAAGCAUAUAAAUAAUCAUGGCCGCAAAGGCCUCACAUCUAAAAUUGAGAUGUUUAUUUACACAAAUCAGAAAUUGAUAUUUUCAUAUCAAUAUUUUUCUUGACCACUUGUUCAAUGAAAAUUAGAAAUUAAAGUUGAGCAAUAAUUUGCAUUCAUAAACUGGUUCAAACAAUUAGAUAAGUCAAUUGUUAAUUCUGAUGAUUCACCAGGAAAAUUUUGCGGUUUCAAUGCUGUAACUACUCAAGAAUCAGCAAAGAUGAUACACUAAUAUUUGUUUAUAAAAAAUGCAAGUCAAUUUUCAAACGAAUAACACAAAUCUCCAAUAUCUUUAUAAAUCACUAAUAAUGAAACUUAAGUAUCCAAGGGUGUGGAGAUCAGAGAGGAGUUGGCGGAGAUGACUACAUAUGCAAAUCAUCGAUUGUCGAGUUCAUCUUUACCUCUUGUCAAAUGAAUAAACAAUUGAUUCUCCGGACAGUUGACACCCUGGAAUGACGAUCAAUAAAUGUCUACCAACCUCGUAAAUCCACUGUUAAACGAUUCUCAAAUAUAAAUUAUUGUCAAGCUCACUUCUAUAACUGAUUUAUGUUUACUUGGUUUCACUCUCUCGGGGAUAAAAAUAAAUAAA
Molecule: long non-coding RNA, 1940 nt
Organism: Diachasmimorpha longicaudata
Lineage: Eukaryota; Metazoa; Arthropoda; Insecta; Hymenoptera; Braconidae
Exons: 2
Source: RefSeq, a predicted model, not a curated record